CUGCCGGUGGGAUUCGUGGUUAAUCUCAGGGCCAAGCCAACCAAUUAACUAUUGGUUUUCGAGUUUGCACUUUGAAUUCAAAUUCCGAGGGACUUCAGAUUGGGGACACUACGGAACUUUGGGAUCCUGUCCGAUCGGAUGUCGUCCCCAAUCAUGUUUAUCACGGGGCUCCUGAACCGGUCAGAAGGAACCGCCUGACCCGAUGAUGACCCGGUUCGAAUAAACAUCCGUGGUGGAGCUCACCGCGGUCACUCAAGGGCCUGUAGCUCAGUUGGUUAGAGCGCACGCUUGAUAAGCGUGAGGUCAGGAGUUCGAAUCUUCUCAGGCCCACCACGCGAUUGGCGCCGCGACCGAAUGGGCGGGUAUUGUUAUAGGCCGAACCGGGACCGUAGCUCAGGCGGUAGAGCCACCUGCUUUGCAAGCAGGAGAUCGUCGGUUCGAGCCCGACCGGUUCCACCAAUCAGGGUGACGCGAGGCGGUACUUUGUAGCUCGUGUUGGAAUACACCGUGACAAAGCCAGGUAAGCGCGCCUGUUAAAUGUCUGGUCACCGUGCAGAUGGGUAUAGGUCUCCGCGUUGCCAGCAAGGCCGAGCGUGCAUUGUCGCGUCAUCUUGUAGGCGGGUCGGAGCUUAAGGAUGUUAUUGGGAAUGGCGGGCAGAAAGGCGCAUGGUUGGACGGUGAUGACGCAGCCGACCGCAGAAGGAUUGUGCCAACUGACCAGACAGCGGCUCUGGUAAGUCGGCUCAAGACGCGAGAAGGUGAAAUACGCGUCCCAGCGCCAUUCGUUGAUCUUAACCGCCAGAUCGAAGCAAUGUCGUAGAACGCUGCGGAUAUUGGCAGAAUCUCGCGUAUAUUGGCCGAAAUGGGUCGACUGUAGAAACUCGAUGUAGUUGUAUGCACGGCAUUAUAGUAAUUGACUUUGUACGUCAGCGUGCCAUUGUCCGGCAACAGGGAGGUGCAGCCAAGACGGGCUUGCGAGCGUGUGG
This 986-nucleotide transfer RNA is filed under the name Acidiphilium symbioticum. RNAcentral describes it as "partial 16S-23S ribosomal RNA intergenic spacer". The stretch from base 257 to 330 matches the Rfam family "tRNA". Lineage: Bacteria; Pseudomonadati; Pseudomonadota; Alphaproteobacteria; Acetobacterales; Acidocellaceae. The record is from RNAcentral.